GACGAACGCUGGCGGCGUGCUUAACACAUGCAAGUCGAACGGAAAGGCCCUGCUUUUGUGGGGUGCUCGAGUGGCGAACGGGUGAGUAACACGUGAGUAACCUGCCCUUGACUUUGGGAUAACUUCAGGAAACUGGGGCUAAUACCGGAUAGGAGCUCCUGCUGCAUGGUGGGGGUUGGAAAGUUUCGGCGGUUGGGGAUGGACUCGCGGCUUAUCAGCUUGUUGGUGGGGUAGUGGCUUACCAAGGGUUUGACGGGUAGCCGGCCUGAGAGGGUGACCGGCCACAUUGGGACUGAGAUACGGCCCAGACUCCUACGGGAGGCAGCAGUGGGGAAUAUUGCACAGUGGGCGGAAGCCUGAUGCAGCAACGCCGCGUGCGGGAUGACGGCCUUCGGGUUGUAAACCGCUUUCGCCUGUGACGAAGCGUGAGUGACGGUAAUGGGUAAAGAAGCACCGGCUAACUACGUG
RNAcentral lists this ribosomal RNA (468 nucleotides) under uncultured bacterium. RNAcentral's name for it is "partial 16S ribosomal RNA". It matches the Rfam family "Bacterial small subunit ribosomal RNA", at positions 28 to 507 of the family's 1533-position model. The record is from RNAcentral.